GGUAAACGCUCUCUUUUUUGGAGUUCUCCUGUUCCAAAAAAACAUGCAGGGCAAUCGAAAAGAUUUCUCCAUUCCCUCGUUCCCAAGAAGGAGCAACAAAGGAAACUGCUUUUUUAGAAUGAAAGCAAAUCACUUCGCGUAGUCGGAAGCCCGGGUCUCGCGGAUGAUAUUGACCUUGAUCUGGCCUGGGUACUCGAGGUCGCUCUCGAUCUUUUUA
This 217-nucleotide unclassified non-coding RNA is filed under the name Hevea brasiliensis (rubber tree). The record is from RNAcentral. Lineage: Eukaryota; Viridiplantae; Streptophyta; Magnoliopsida; Malpighiales; Euphorbiaceae.